This is a long non-coding RNA of Helianthus annuus (common sunflower), 315 nucleotides long. RefSeq lists it as uncharacterized. The transcript has 3 exons. Lineage: Eukaryota; Viridiplantae; Streptophyta; Magnoliopsida; Asterales; Asteraceae. The record is from RefSeq and is a predicted model, not a curated record.
ACCUGCUGCUUAUGAAAAUUAGGCCUUGCGAAUCUUCUUGAAUUAAGAGAAGAAUGCUUGCGAGAAUUCAACUUUUUUGAUGCAUAUAGUACUAUUAAACAGAGAGAGAAUGAGGCAUCACUUGCUGUCUUGCCUGAUCUUUUAAUGGAGCUUGAUAGUAUGAGUGAGGAAACAAGACUUCUUACAUUAAUAGAAGGCGUUCUUGCUGCAAAUAUCUUCUAUUGGGGAUCCCGUGCUUGUGUUGAUCUUUAUCACAAAGGAACGAUUAUUGAAAUAUAUAGAAUGAGUCGCAAAAAGAUGCAAAGACCAUGGCGG